Molecule: ribosomal RNA, 419 nt
Filed under: bacterium
Lineage: Bacteria
Description: partial 16S ribosomal RNA
Rfam family: Bacterial small subunit ribosomal RNA
Source: RNAcentral
UGGGGGAUAUUGCACAAUGGGCGAAAGCCUGAUGCAGCGACGCCGCGUGGGGGAUGAAGGCCUUCGGGUUGUAAACUUCUUUUGCUCUGAACAAGGCAUGCUAAUGGGUGUGUUGAGUGUAGGGGUUGAUUAGCGCCGGCUAACUACGUGCCAGCAGCCGCGGUAAUACGUAGGGCGCGAGCGUUGUCCGGAAUUAUUGGGCGUAAAGGGCUUGUAGGUGGCUGGUUGCGUCUGUCGUGAAAGCUCAUGGCUUAACUGUGGGUUUGCGGUGGGUACGGGCUGGCUUGAGUGCAGUAGGGGAGGCUGGAAUUCCUGGUGUAGCGGUGGAAUGCGCAGAUAUCAGGAGGAAUACCGGUGGCGAAGGCGGGUCUCUAGGCUGUUACUGACACUGAGGAGCGAAAGCAUGGGGAGCGAACAGG